RNAcentral lists this small RNA (179 nucleotides) under Escherichia coli. Its description in RNAcentral is "STnc100". It matches the Rfam family "Gammaproteobacterial sRNA STnc100". The record is from RNAcentral. Lineage: Bacteria; Pseudomonadati; Pseudomonadota; Gammaproteobacteria; Enterobacterales; Enterobacteriaceae.
GUUUGCGGGGAGUUUGUUAAAAGAAACUGGCAUGGUGAAUCCCCCUGUGCGGAGGGGCAAUCAGCGAGUAGGUAUAUGGGAUAAUCGCGGAUUCAGGUGCUGGUACUGAAUUCACCGGGAGGCACCCGGCACCAUGCACUUCAAUAGAUUCUCUCCACAUUAUGGAUAUUCUUUCAGAA